CGGACAGAAGGGAGCUUGCUCCCGGAUGUUAGCGGCGGACGGGUGAGUAACACGUGGGUAACCUGCCUGUAAGACUGGGAUAACUCCGGGAAACCGGAGCUAAUACCGGAUAGUUCCUUGAACCGCAUGGUUCAAGGAUGAAAGACGGUUUCGGCUGUCACUUACAGAUGGACCCGCGGCGCAUUAGCUAGUUGGUGGGGUAAUGGCUCACCAAGGCGACGAUGCGUAGCCGACCUGAGAGGGUGAUCGGCCACACUGGGACUGAGACACGGCCCAGACUCCUACGGGAGGCAGCAGUAGGGAAUCUUCCGCAAUGGACGAAAGUCUGACGGAGCAACGCCGCGUGAGUGAUGAAGGUUUUCGGAUCGUAAAGCUCUGUUGUUAGGGAAGAACAAGUGCGAGAGUAACUGCUCGCACCUUGACGGUACCUAACCAGAAAGCCACGGCUAACUACGUGCCAGCAGCCGCGGUAAUACGUAGGUGGCAAGCGUUGUCCGGAAUUAUUGGGCGUAGAGGGCUCGCAGGCGGUUUCUUAAGUCUGAUGUGAAAGCCCCCGGCUCAACCGGGGGAGGGUCAUUGGAAACUGGGAAACUUGAGUGCAGAAGAGGAGAG
This 612-nucleotide ribosomal RNA is filed under the name Bacillus pumilus. Its description in RNAcentral is "bacterial SSU rRNA". It matches the Rfam family "Bacterial small subunit ribosomal RNA", at positions 67 to 661 of the family's 1533-position model. Lineage: Bacteria; Bacillati; Bacillota; Bacilli; Caryophanales; Bacillaceae. The record is from RNAcentral.